This 526-nucleotide ribosomal RNA is filed under the name uncultured bacterium. RNAcentral's name for it is "bacterial SSU rRNA". It matches the Rfam family "Bacterial small subunit ribosomal RNA", at positions 370 to 885 of the family's 1533-position model. The record is from RNAcentral.
AAUGGGCGAAAGACCUGACGCAGCAACGCCGCGUGGAGGAUGAAGGCCCUUGGGUUGUAAACUCCUGUCGGCUGGGAAGAAAUCUUCCGGGGCUAAUACCUCCGGGAGUUGACUGUACCAGCAAAGGAAGCCCCGGCUAACUCUGUGCCAGCAGCCGCGGUAAUACAGAGGGGGCUAGCGUUAUUCGGAAUUAUUGGGCGUAAAGGGCGCGUAGGCGGCCAUGCGUGUCUUCCGUGAAAUCCCUCGGCUUAACUGAGGACGUGCGGAAGAAACUGCAAGGCUCGAGUCCGGGAGAGGGGGGUGGAAUUCCCAGUGUAGCGGUGAAAUGCGUAGAUAUUGGGAGGAACACCGGUGGCGAAGGCGGCCCCCUGGACCGGUACUGACGCUGAGGCGCGAAAGCGUGGGUAGCAAACGGGAUUAGAUACCCCGGUAGUCCACGCCGUAAACGAUGGGCACUUGGUGUCGCGGGUAUCGACCCCUGCGGUGCCGAAGCUAACGCAUUAAGUGCACCGCCUGGGGAGUACGG